AAAUUAGAAUCAACCACUAAUAUUACACAACAUCUCUUACCAAAUCAGAUCAUCUUCGAUAAGAAGAAUCACUGUCAACUAUUCCAGCUUGCACCAACCUCAUCAACUUUCCUGAACACUCCUCGACCACUGGAUCCUCAACUCUGUCUCCUCGCCUAGCAUUAGCCUUACUCACAAUCUCAAUCAAUCAUCUCAUCUUUAAGCCUUUCUGAAAUGGUUAGAAAGGAAUAGCAAGGGUGAGCAACAAUGCUCAGCAAGUAAUAAUAAACAAUGAUAGUUCUGAAAUGAUAUAAUAGAAGUUCACGAGUUCAAGAUAUAAGAGGAUUCAACCUGAGUUCAUGAGUUCAUGGUAUUGUAUAGAAUGAUUUACAAUACCUUGCAGCAUUUAAACUGAGAAAUUCAAUCUUUCCAAAGAAUUAUUGAAUUGGACUAUCACAUUUUAAUUAAAACCAAGGUUAGGCAGCUGAUCAGUUCCGCACUAACCCCGAGCAGGCCCCGCCAUGCUCUAUCACUGGAUCCAAGGCACUCAUUGGCCUAACAUGACCACGAAUCUGGUCCACAGGUUUAUAUAAAAACAAUAAUCCAAUUCUCUAAUUCAAUUCAAGAAGCCAAUGUAAAUUAACAGAACAUCAUCAUAAAUAUCAUCAACAACAGAAUAAUUCCAAUUCAAACUUUGAUAAUAAUCUAUUCAUAAAUCAUGAUCCAUCAUUUCAUAAAUCACAGUUCAGGAAAUCCUCAACUAUUCAGUAUCCUCCAUUAUCGGCUAAGCAACUGAAUUUAGCCUGCUAAACCAGCAUGACAAUGGCGGGUUGAAUAAUCAAGAAGAUCCCAAUUCAUUCAAAGCUCUAACUAUCACUGAGCAACACAUGCUUCAAUGACAAUCUGAACUUCGAAUUAAUUUGUAAAACGGAAAUUCUUUAGAAACUUGAAGAUUAGAAAGAAUGGGUCAGAAUACUCGCACUUUCGAACAUUGAAAAGAAAGGUAUGAAUACUUGAAACAUAUACCAAAGGAAUGGAUCAGAAUAUUUGCAAUAUAUCCAAGAGAAAGGUUUAGGAUACUUGCCUUAAAUCUGACUCCAGUCUCACAUCUCAAUCUCAUCUUUCCACUUUCACAAUCUAUGCAUCUCAUAGUCUCUAGACCAUCUCUGGCUAUACUCUAUCUACCGUACAUCUUCGCUUCGCUUACUCGAUUCAUCCCUUAUUCGCUUUGUAACACCACGUGACUUUCUGAACGUCUUCGGGCAUACACGUCUCGUCCAAAUCCUUUACGAGAAUAAGAUAACACUAUAAUCACUAAACAAUCGAUCGCAUAUACAUCUCACGUAUAUCAAUACCCACUUAUAUAUCCCUUUAAACUUAUCAGAUACCACGUAACACAUAAGCAUGCUUUAACUCUAACAUAUAGUCAAUCAUAUUCCACAUAACAUAUCACCAAUCAAUUAUCAUAUAAAUCCUUAUCGAAAAUCCGACAUCGUCUCGUCUAUGUAUAAGACUAUCCACCUAUUAUCCUAUCUCAAUCAUUAAUCAACCAACAAAAUCCAAUAGCUAUAAUCCAUAUAUUCUUAUCCAAUAUCAAUCAUACGAAUCAUUUAUCACUUCACAAUAUCAAAACUAACACGUACUUCACAUAAUCAUCACCUGAUAGCACUUAGAUCACAUAUUAUCACAUUAUGCAUACUUAUCAACAAUUAUUCACCUUAUAGACUCAGCCAUAUAGUCACAUCAUAUUAAAAUAGACGUUAUAAGCUUCUGUCUCUCUUUCGUUUCACUUGAUUCCGACUUACGGAUCAAAAGUUAUGCUCAAAACAGUUUUCUCACUCUCCUAUCGGCACAUAACACAUCCAACCAAUAGCAGACAACACACAACACAUAAGGUUUCCCAUCCCAAUUGAUAUUAAAUCAAGUCUUGGGUUAAAAAUGAUUUUUCGGGAAUUUUCCAGAAUUUUUAAACAUUUUUCGGAAUUAAAAUCGAUAAAAGAAUCACUUUUCGAAUAAAUAAUCAAGUCCCAAAUACUUGAAAUUGGACUUGAAAUCAUUCAUAAACAAUUAUCGAGCCUUGAAAAUAAUUUGGAAAAAUAUUUUAAAGCUCGAAACUAUUUUUCGGAAUUUUUAAAUCAAAAAGGAUUAAUUAAAUCCAAUUAAUUAAUCAAUUAAAAUCAAUUAAUAAUUAAUUAAAAUAAUUAAUCAAUUAAUAUUUAAAUUAAUUGACCAAUUAAAAUAAUUAAUUACUAAUUAAAAUUAAUUAAUAAACUAAUUUAGAUUUAUUUUUGAAUAAAGAAAUAAUUAAAAACUAUUUUUGGAAUUUAAAAUAAUUAAAUAAAACAAUUUUAGAAAAUUAAAUCAAAAGGUUUAUUUUGUAAACUUUUGAAAGUUUUGUCCAGGGUUUAAAGUGUAACUUUUCAAAGUUACAGGGGGUAAUUCAUAAGUUUCAAAACCUGAGUACAAAAACUUCAUCAUCUUCAAAACUUCGGUGACCAAACAGCAAUAAGCCGCCGGCCAUCACACUAACUUGCCGGAUUUUCGUUUCCAGGCGUCCUCCACUCACCAUCUACUCCAGAUCAGUAGUACACACACCCAUAAAUCAAUCCCCCAUCUUUAAUUAGGCAGAAGUCGCGCGAAUUCGCCGGAAAAUCCGGCCGAAGUCGGCGACUUCCCGCCGCCGAUGGCGGCGAUUCGAGCCACCUCCGCUCAAACCAAGCACACCAGCAUACUCCCCUUUCUCUCCUCUUUCUAUUCAUAUAUACCACUACUGCCCAGAUUUAGCGGAACCCAUUUUCCGGCCAAAAUUCAAACUUUUCCGGCAACAAGCUCAAGAACACCAAGAACACAAUUUCAAUAAUCAAACUGACUUUUCUACAUGUUAUUGAACUCCGUUUUUGACAUAUAAUAUACCAAAACGACGAGAAAAACAUGCUCUACAUCAUAGAAUCAUCAAAUCACAUAAACGGAAUCGUUUGCAAAAAUUCAUCAUUUAAAUCAUAUAAACUCGAAUUUUAGAAAAAUAAUCUAAAAUCACCUGUUGAAUCUGCAUAUAAACGGAUGAUUA
Molecule: long non-coding RNA, 3046 nt
Filed under: Daucus carota (carrot)
Lineage: Eukaryota; Viridiplantae; Streptophyta; Magnoliopsida; Apiales; Apiaceae
Description: long non-coding RNA (DCAR_LNC005406)
Source: RNAcentral